RNAcentral lists this long non-coding RNA (453 nucleotides) under Castor canadensis (American beaver). Its description in RNAcentral is "lncRNA (ENSCCNG00000001311.1)". Lineage: Eukaryota; Metazoa; Chordata; Mammalia; Rodentia; Castoridae. The record is from RNAcentral.
GGUAAGAGAGGCCGCGCGGCCUGCGUUUUUUCGCAAAAAGGUACCCUGUGACUCUCAUUCUGAUUCAGUGUUCUGAUGAGUUCCCUCUCUUGCAUGGUAAAUGUAACUCUGCCAUCCUGCAGGGCUAAGAGCAGGCUGCGUACCCUCCAGUGAGAUUGUCCAUCCAAGUCCUCAUCAAGCCUAGCUUUGGGGACCUCUCCCAUGUUCUCCCAAAGGACGUGCUGCACACUCUCGUCUGGCAUUCGUCUGGGAACUGGAUUCCCUUACAAGGCACUUGGGCUCUGCCUUUCCCUAGAAAAAGGAGGAGAAAAUGACCAAACUCCAGGUGAGUUGAUUCUCAUUUCUGUCGUUAAUAUGUCACCUCAUUCAUCAGAGAAUGGAUACAUUUUUUCCCUUUUCUUGACCAAGUGUAAAGAAUGACAGCAGUCAUUUAAUACCACUUAUGUGUCUGGC